GUUCCUAGAUGCUACUCAGCUGUCCCCAAUCUGACAAUCUGCUUCUUGAGCAGGACACAGAGCCACACUCUGUGUGAAGGAUUGUUUUGUGCCACUCUGCCUGCAUUACUGAGGGUUUCUACCUGGACCUGAUCUUCUGUCCCACUGAGCGUUUUUUUCCACACGUGUGUAGGCUGCUGGCAUGUCAGUGCAUCAUUGCAGCCCAAUGGAGGUCAUAACAGGAAUUUAUUGUUUGAAAGAAGAUUGUGAAACAAACAAACCAGCACCACAGCACCUAAACCCCAAUCUGGUGCUCGGCUCCCUGCCUGCAUUGGUGAGGCCUCCUCUGUCUUGAAUACCUGGCAGAUGCUAAAUAAGUUAAUUUGCCCCACCUGUCAGGUGAGCAGAAUGUUAAGAAGAAACAGCAGCAGGACAUAACGCAGGACAGCUGCUCCAUGCUGGGCUUUGGCAGAGACAGACCUGGUCCGUUUAACUCUCGACAAAGGAGGGACACGAGCUGCGAGGCGUUUCAGGUGCGACAGAUGCCUUCAGAGCCGUCGGGAAAAGGGGCUGACGUGUGAGAGAAAUGGAGAAGUGCUGUAGCAAAAGCUCGUCUUGGUGGGGUUUCAACAAAGAAGGAUCAAGAGAUUAGAGAGAACUGGAUCCUCUCUGGCAGGGUGAGGACAGAGCUCCUGAUGACUGAUACCAAGAUUGCUGGAGAGGUUUAAAGUGUAAUCAGGAGAGUGAGCAGACAUCCAGCUCUUUCUUCUGUUCCCUCAAGACCUAUGUUCAUAGUUCAUAGUUAAAAUACUAUUAGUCUUAUUACUAGUUUGUUUUCAGAGGCAAAUUUCCAGGUUAUUUUGUCAUUUUUUUCUGUGCAGCUCCUAAAGACAAAACUACAACUCAUUUAUGUGCAUUAGACAACUGAGACUGUAGAAAAAAAAAAGUAAUACGAAAUUUUUAAUUACAAUCGAGUCUUGCAUUCCUGUUGAUGCUUUUUAUUGAGAAUAACUGAAAAUGUACUUGCAGAGAGAAACAGAAACAAGACUCAUAAUUUCACUCUAUAACUACAGCCAACAAUUUGGCACAUUGAAAACUAACUCAAGUGUAAAAAUAUGGACACACUGGGCAUCUGAUGCAUAGUCAAGGAUGUGCUAAUCAAUCCCAGGUUCUUGAACGCACAUUCAGCCCAAAGUGUUCACACUGAACAAGCAGGGAGGGGCUUUUUCUCAGUGCGCAAUGUCAAUGUGUUAAAAAUCUCACAUUUCUCGCUCCAGGGUUUUGAAAGAUUUGUCAUUUCAUUCGGGUUGGGCACAAAUCAUAGUUUUUAAAUGUUCCUUUAUGACCAGUUUUCAAACGGUUGGUACUUCUGUGAAUGGAAGGGGACAAAAUCCAUACAUCACUACUCAAUAGGAGUCCCUGAUUGGUCAACGUUCAGUCAGUUUAACUUGUAACGUGUAUUCAGUGGCCAUAGAGCACAAAUAUGGUCAUAAAAACUGGCAUUGCUACAAGUGACUGUGAGAGUUUUGAGCGUGGAAGCCCGAAAAACAGUUCCACACAUUUAUGUAGACUUUCCAUUGGAAGUGGUUGCAUGAACACUUCGCUUUACGAGGGACACCAAUAGAGCUCCAAGCUCCUUAACCAAACCAGACCAAAGAAAAUGUCCUGAAAGCCAUUAUUUAACCUAUGUUCUCAGAUUUAGGAUUAAACAAAUGACUGCUACAACUAUAUGCUAUAUGUGCCAUACUGCAUGAAUCUUAAUAUUAACAUGUUUGAAUUAAAACUAAAUUACUAUUAGUUGUUAGGCUGCUAAAAGUUUGAAGCUGAGAAAAGUAUUGUGCACUGGGGUUCUGUCCUUUAUUCUCGUUUACUUUUACUCUCUAUUUUUUAUUAUUUAUUUUAUUGAGUUCUCUAUGCCUCUGUUUGGUGCAGUUCAAUUCAUGGGUUGUUCCUCUUUCCCAAUGUGUGAAGGUGACCACAGGAUCUUUAGCUUCAGAACAGCUUUAAUGGGCAUGUUCCAAAAAUGUGUUUCCUACUUUUUUGCCUUUUCCGAAAGAACAUUAAGUGUAAACUAUGGCAAACGCUGAAAUAAAAACCAAUGGGUUACGGGUAAAAAAUAUUUUACAUCAUAAACAGGUUCUUUAUCAACA
Oryzias melastigma (Indian medaka) is the source of this 2129-nucleotide long non-coding RNA. RefSeq lists it as uncharacterized. The transcript has 2 exons. Lineage: Eukaryota; Metazoa; Chordata; Actinopteri; Beloniformes; Adrianichthyidae. The record is from RefSeq and is a predicted model, not a curated record.